UACGAAGGGGGCUAGCGUUGCUCGGAAUCACUGGGCGUAAAGCGCACGUAGGCGGCUUCUUGAGUCAGGGGUGAAAUCCUGGAGCUCAACUCCAGAACUGCCUUUGAUACUGAGGAGCUCGAGUCCGGGAGAGGUGAGUGGAACUCCGAGUGUAGAGGUGAAAUUCGUAGAUAUUCGGAAGAACACCAGUGGCGAAGGCGGCUCACUGGGCCGACCCUGACGCUGAGGCGCGAAGGCGUGGGGAGCGAACGGG
This 253-nucleotide ribosomal RNA is filed under the name uncultured bacterium. RNAcentral's name for it is "partial 16S ribosomal RNA". It matches the Rfam family "Bacterial small subunit ribosomal RNA", at positions 524 to 776 of the family's 1533-position model. The record is from RNAcentral.